RNAcentral lists this ribosomal RNA (429 nucleotides) under Chloroflexota bacterium. RNAcentral describes it as "Chloroflexi bacterium partial 16S ribosomal RNA". It matches the Rfam family "Bacterial small subunit ribosomal RNA", at positions 355 to 776 of the family's 1533-position model. The record is from RNAcentral. Lineage: Bacteria; Bacillati; Chloroflexota.
UGGGGAAUAUUGCACAAUGGGCGCAAGCCUGAUGCAGCCAUGCCGCGUGUGUGAAGAAGGCCUUCGGGUUGUAAAGCACUUUCAGCGGGGAGGAAGGCGAUAAGGUUAAUAACCUUGUCGAUUGACGUUACCCGCAGAAGAAGCACCGGCUAACUCCGUGCCAGCAGCCGCGGUAAUACGGAGGGUGCAAGCGUUAAUCGGAAUUACUGGGCGUAAAGCGCACGCAGGCGGUCUGUCAAGUCGGAUGUGAAAUCCCCGGGCUUAACCUGGGAACUGCAUUCGAAACUGGCAGGCUAGAGUCUUGUAGAGGGGGGUGGAAUUCCAUGUGUAGCGGUGAAAUGCGUAGAGAUGUGGAGGAAUACCGGUGGCGAAGGCGGCCCCCUGGACAAAGACUGACGCUCAGGUGCGAAAGCGGGGGGAGCAAACGGG